GAAACAGUGGCUAAGACUGGAUAGGAAGAAAUAAGGCAUCUUUUUUCUUUUAAAAGACCUAGUGAUAGGUAUACUUUAGGAGGGGCUUGCGCCAUAUUAGUUAGUUGGUAGGGUAAUGGCCUACCAAGACGAUGAUGUGUAGCUGGACUGAGAGGUUGAACAGCCACAUUGGGACUGAGACACGGCCCAAACUCCUACGGGAGGCAGCAGUAGGGAAUUUUCGGCAAUGGAGGAAACUCUGACCGAGCAACGCCGCGUGAACGACGAAGUACUUUGGUAUGUAAAGUUCUUUUAUCAAGGAAGAAAACCAAGUGGUGAACCAUUUGUUUGCCGGUACUUGAUGAAUAAGCCCCGGCUAAUUAUGUGCCAGCAGCCGCGGUAAGACAUAAGGGGCAAGUGUUAUCCGGAAUUAUUGGGCGUAAAGGGUGCGUAGGCGGUCUAGUAAGUCAGUGGUGUAAUGGCAACGCUCAACGUUGUCCGGCUAUUGAAACUGCUAAACUUGAGUUAGAUAGAGGCGAGUGGAAUUCCAUGUGUAGCGGUAAAAUGCGUAAAUAUAUGGAGGAACACCAGAGGCGUAGGCGGCUCGCUGGGUCUUAACUGACGCUGAGGCACGAAAGCGUGGGGAGCAAACAGGAUUAGAUACCCUGGUAGUCCACGCCGUAAACGAUGAGUACUAAGUGUCGGGUUAAACCGGUACUGAAGUUAACACAUUAAGUACUCCGCCUGAGUAGUACGUACGCAAGUAUGAAACUUAAAGGAAUUGACGGGACUCCGCACAAGCGGUGGAUCAUGUUGUUUAAUUCGAAGAUACCCGAAAAACCUUACCAGGUCUUGACAUGUUUUUGCGAAACGGUAGUAAUAUCGUGGAGGUUAUCAGAAACACAGGUGGUGCAUGGUUGUCGUCAGCUCGUGUCGUGAGAUGUUAGGUUAAGUCCUAAAACGAGCGAAACCCUUAUCGUUAGUUGCCAGCACGUUAUGGUGGGGACUUUAACGAGACUGCCAGUGAUAAAUUGGAGGAAGGUGAGGAUCACGUCAAAUCAGCAUGCCCCUUAUGACCUGGGCUACAAACGUGAUACAAUGGCUGUUACAAAGGGUAGCUGAAACGCAAGUUCUUGGCCAAUCCCCAAAAACAGUCUCAGUCCGGAUUGAAGUCUGCAACUCGACUUCAUGAAGUUGGAAUCGCUAGUAAUCGCGAAUCAGCAUGUCGCGGUGAAUACGUUCUCGGGGUUUGUACACACCGCCCGUCA
RNAcentral lists this ribosomal RNA (1247 nucleotides) under Candidatus Phytoplasma citri. RNAcentral describes it as "bacterial SSU rRNA". It matches the Rfam family "Bacterial small subunit ribosomal RNA", at positions 153 to 1399 of the family's 1533-position model. The record is from RNAcentral. Lineage: Bacteria; Bacillati; Mycoplasmatota; Mollicutes; Acholeplasmatales; Acholeplasmataceae.